GAAAUAUUUUAUAUUAAGCUGCUAACUUAAUUUAUAGUGAUUUUAUCAUUAAUAUUUCU
This 59-nucleotide transfer RNA is filed under the name Dichorragia nesimachus. Its description in RNAcentral is "tRNA-Ser". The record is from RNAcentral. Lineage: Eukaryota; Metazoa; Arthropoda; Insecta; Lepidoptera; Nymphalidae.